This is a non-coding RNA of Macrostomum lignano, 71 nucleotides long. NCBI's taxonomy places the organism in Eukaryota, Metazoa, Platyhelminthes, Macrostomidae. The record is from Rfam.
GGGGUUCUAGUUUAGUGGUUAGAGCGUCGGACUCACGACUUGAAAGGUCGGGGUUCGAUUCCCGAUCCCCU